CCUACGAGGUGCAGCAGUGAGGAAUAUUGGUCAAUGGUCGGACGCCUGAACCAGCCAAGUAGCGUGCAGGAUGACGGCCCUACGGGUUGUCAACUUCUUUUAUACGGGAAUAACGCGUCUUACGUGUCGGGCUUUGCAUGUACCGUAUGAAUAAGGAUCGUCUAAUUCCGUGCCAGCAGCCGCGGUACUACGGCAGGUACGGGCGUUAUCCGGAUUUAUUGGGUUUCAAGGGUGCGGAGGCGGCUUGUCAAGCGUGCUGUUAAAUGUCCGGGCUCAACCCCGGCCCUGCAGAGCAAACUGGCGGGCUGGAGUACGCGGAAAGCAGGUGGAAUGAGUGGGGUAGCGGUGAAAU
RNAcentral lists this ribosomal RNA (352 nucleotides) under uncultured bacterium. Its description in RNAcentral is "partial 16S ribosomal RNA". It matches the Rfam family "Bacterial small subunit ribosomal RNA", at positions 338 to 687 of the family's 1533-position model. The record is from RNAcentral.